This 550-nucleotide long non-coding RNA is filed under the name Ananas comosus (pineapple). RNAcentral describes it as "long non-coding RNA (ACOM_LNC034924)". The record is from RNAcentral. Lineage: Eukaryota; Viridiplantae; Streptophyta; Magnoliopsida; Poales; Bromeliaceae.
AGCAGCUAUGAAAUCAUCAAAGUAGGGUUAAUCAGACAAAACAGGAAACUCACACCAAUUCUCCAGCUACUAAACCACCGCACGACGAAUUCAAUACAAUUCAAUUUAGUUCGAUUCAAAGGCAAGUUCAAAUUGGUGGGUAGGAAAGGGGCUAGGGUUAGGGUUUUGGGGAACUGACCACCAGGAAUAGGAGGUUCGGCGGUCGAUCUUGAGGGCGAGGAAGAGGGUGAAGCAGAAGAGGAGGCCGUGCGCCACCACCGCCUGCGCCGACCUCCCCACGCUCGUCCAUGUCAUCGCCCGACGCCGCUGCAUCCUUAUUCUCCCUCUCUCUCUCUCUCUCUCUCUCUCUCUCUCUCGCGUUCACUCUUAUAUUCCUCGCUUCCUCCGGAUAAUGGCGAAUAAGUACGGGGAAUAAGUCGGGAGCGACGGAAUAAAUUAAAUUAAAAUAAAUUUUUUUAAAAAAAAAACACUAAUAAACCCUCGAUCGAUGUGGAGGCGGAGGUUGUGGAUAUUUUGGGGUUUUUGUUUCUAUUUUUGGAUUCUUUUUUUU